UACAGAGGGUGCAAGCGUUAAUCGGAAUUACUGGGCGUAAAGCGUGCGUAGACGGUUAUGUAAGUCAGAUGUGAAAGCCCCGGGCUCAACCUGGGAAUUGCAUUUGAGACUGCAUAGCUAGGGUGCGGAAGAGGGAAGCGGAAUUUCCGGUGUAGCGGUGAAAUGCGUAGAUAUCAGGAGGAACACCGGUGGCGAAGGCGGGUCUCUGGGCCGAUACUGACGCUGAGGAGCGAAAGCGUGGGGAGCGAACAGG
Molecule: ribosomal RNA, 253 nt
Filed under: uncultured bacterium
Lineage: Bacteria
Description: partial 16S ribosomal RNA
Rfam family: Bacterial small subunit ribosomal RNA
Source: RNAcentral